Molecule: long non-coding RNA, 1130 nt
Filed under: Oryza brachyantha (malo sina)
Lineage: Eukaryota; Viridiplantae; Streptophyta; Magnoliopsida; Poales; Poaceae
Description: long non-coding RNA (OBRA_LNC002358)
Source: RNAcentral
ACGUGAAUUAGCAUGAUAUAAUUUAUUACUUCUCCAGAGUUCAUUAUGUUCCGUAAAACUACAAACAAAUUGCUUGCACUCUAUCCUGUGAUGGACAUACCAAAUUAUUAUGUAAAAUGCAUAAGUAGUUUCAAAGAUACGUUCUGACCCUCAGAUCCUGGUAUCUUGCUCUGAAACCAUUCAGAAGACUCGGACACAAAAUUAAAUAUCAUUUAAAAGAUUCAACACAUAACUUGCUCAACCAUCCUGAUCCCUGACUUCCUGUUAGUAUAGUCUGCAGGCUACAAGUACGUGUAACUUGUAGCUAAUCGUAUCCCAAAAUUUCAGUACUCUUCCUGAAGGAUAAAAAUGUCAGACAGUCAGAUAAUUACUUUGUGGGCAUAUCUAAGAAGCUAUUUUGUUCAUGAUGGAUCAAAGCUCACAAUUAUCUUUGCUACUGAACUACUGUAAUGCAUCAAAAGGGAACAUGUCAAUUAUCAGAAGUGAGUUGAUUUUGGUCCCCUUAACCAGAGCCUGAUCACAUCUGCUGUACAAUUAUCUAUGACCCUGAACUACAGUAACAUUCAUUCCGGCGUAAUUGAGUAACAUUCAUUCCGCUGGGAAAUUGUCUUCAUGAGCAAAUAUUAAGCAAGAAAUUCACAUUCAAUCCAUUCUUAUCUAAAACCUAACCAACCACGCCAAACAUCACCAUCUCUGUUCUUCCCACCUUGACUUGCAACCAAGCGAACAAACAGGCAAUCCUUCUUCUCUUUAUCGAAGCAAAGCAAUGGAAAUUUCUACAAAAAAUCUACCAAGCAAAGAAUUAGGUUCUGGAGAAGAAGAACCCGCACCUUCGCUCUCGGCAGUCACCAUUCACCAAUCACCAGCGAACUGAUCGGUGAGGCGGCCAUUAGUUACACCGCUCUGCAACUGAUCUCCGCAAACGCUGGCUGGUCUGGGUAGCUCGUGAUCGACGGCGCCCCGCCGCCAAGCCGCCGCCGGUGAGCCACGUCGAGGUGGCGGUGUACGGUUCCGGCCGCCGCCGCGAGAUCGACGAAAUACCUCACUACUACUAGUAGGAGAAAAAGAGAGAGAGAGAGAAAUUGCGCAAUGGAUCGCAGCCGUCCAAAAAUGCCGAAGGCUCACCAAAC